RNAcentral lists this ribosomal RNA (255 nucleotides) under uncultured prokaryote. RNAcentral describes it as "partial 16S ribosomal RNA". It matches the Rfam family "Bacterial small subunit ribosomal RNA", at positions 523 to 777 of the family's 1533-position model. The record is from RNAcentral.
AUACGGAGGGAGCUAGCGUUGUUCGGAAUUACUGGGCGUAAAGCGCACGUAGGCGGCCAUUCAAGUCAGAGGUGAAAGCCCAGGGCUCAACCUUGGAACUGCCUUUGAAACUAGAUGGCUAGAAUUCUGGAGAGGUCAGUGGAAUUCCGAGUGUAGAGGUGAAAUUCGUAGAUAUUCGGAAGAACACCAGUGGCGAAGGCGACUGACUGGACAGAUAUUGACGCUGAGGUGCGAAAGCGUGGGGAGCAAACAGGA